RNAcentral lists this transfer RNA (68 nucleotides) under Musa acuminata subsp. malaccensis (wild Malaysian banana). It matches the Rfam family "tRNA". Rfam says of the family: Transfer RNA (tRNA) molecules are approximately 80 nucleotides in length. Lineage: Eukaryota; Viridiplantae; Streptophyta; Magnoliopsida; Zingiberales; Musaceae. The record is from Rfam by way of RNAcentral.
AUGGUGCAAGCUGGGAGAGCGUCAAACUGAAGAUUUGAAGGUCGCGUAUUUGAUUCACGCUCACCGUA